ACUUCAAUUAUUUCAAGCCAUUUGAAUCAACCUAACAUUCUCUCACAAAAAUUACGUCAAAUAUUUCAAGCCAUUUGAAUCAACCUAACUUCCUCUCUAAAAAAUUACUACUACUUAAAUAGUUCCUCCAUAGCAAUACCAGAAACACAACAUUCUCCACUUGACUCACUUUUCAAACACAGCAGCAAAAUACCGAAGGCGUUCCUCUCAUUCUACUUAUUCACGAAAUCACCAAAAUGUGGAAGCUUAUCAUUUCCUCGAUGCUGGUUGCAUGCCUUCUUGCAAGCAGCCUCGAUGUUCCAUUCACUGAAGUCUCCAAUACAACUCAAAAAAAAAAUAGUGAUACAUGCUACCAAGUUGUCAUAAAUAAUCAUUGCCUGGAGUCAAUUUACGAUGCCUUUUGUUAUGAUGAGACUUAUGAUCCAGUAGGCGAUGGUUGUUGUUUUUAUUAUAUACAAAUUGCUGAAGAUUGCAUACCUAAAAUGGCUUCAGAUGCAAAAGCAUUGAAUCGUUGUGGCCAAGAAAUUGAUCAAAUUGAUGAAAGAGCUACAAAUCUUUAUCAAUUUUGUCUACGUAAUCUGUAAUUCACAAUUAGGUGACCCAAUGAUCAUAUAAGAAUGUUUUCUUUAUUCCCAAAUAAUUUCCAUCUUUAUGUUAUUAUAAAUUAAGUGUUGGAAUAUUGAAUUAUUCAUUCUUGUUGUAAUAGUAUAAGAAUAAAUCAUAACGGAGGCUGUUUAUUAUUUUA
Molecule: long non-coding RNA, 745 nt
Organism: Salvia splendens (bonfire salvia)
Lineage: Eukaryota; Viridiplantae; Streptophyta; Magnoliopsida; Lamiales; Lamiaceae
Exons: 2
Source: RefSeq, a predicted model, not a curated record